CUACGGGACGCUCCAGUGGGGAAUAUUGCACAAUGGGCGCAAGCCUGAUGCAGCCAUGCCGCGUGUAUGGAGAAGGCCUUCGGGUUGUAAAGUACUUUCAGCGGGGAGGAAGGGAGUAAAGUUAAUACCUUUGCUCAUUGACGUUACCCGCAGAAGAAGCACCGGCUAACUCCGUGCCAGCAGCCGCGGUAAUACGGAGGGUGCAAGCGUUAAUCGGAAUUACUGGGCGUAAAGCGCACGCAGGCGGUUUGUUAAGUCAGAUGUGAAAUCCCCGGGCUCAACCUGGGAACUGCAUCUGAUACUGGCAAGCUUGAGUCUCGUAGAGGGGGGUAGAAUUCCAGGUGUAGCGGUGAAAUGCGUAGAGAUCUGGAGGAAUGCCGGUGGCGAAGGCGGCCCCCUGGACGAAGACUGACGCUCAGGUGCGAAAGCGUGGGGAGCAAACAGGAUUAGAUACCCUCGUAGUC
RNAcentral lists this ribosomal RNA (464 nucleotides) under uncultured bacterium. Its description in RNAcentral is "partial 16S ribosomal RNA". It matches the Rfam family "Bacterial small subunit ribosomal RNA", at positions 339 to 795 of the family's 1533-position model. The record is from RNAcentral.